Molecule: non-coding RNA, 69 nt
Organism: Rattus norvegicus (Norway rat)
Lineage: Eukaryota; Metazoa; Chordata; Mammalia; Rodentia; Muridae
Source: Rfam
GGGGAUUUAGCUCAGCGGUAGAGCGCUUGCCUAGCGAGCACAAGGCCCUGGGUUCGGUCCCCAGCUCCA